This 380-nucleotide ribosomal RNA is filed under the name uncultured euryarchaeote. Its description in RNAcentral is "bacterial SSU rRNA". It matches the Rfam family "Archaeal small subunit ribosomal RNA", at positions 471 to 851 of the family's 1478-position model. Lineage: Archaea; Methanobacteriati; Methanobacteriota. The record is from RNAcentral.
UAAUACCAGCAGCUCAAGUGGUGAUCGUUUUUAUUGGGCCUAAAGCGUCCGUAGCCUGUUUGGUAAACCCUUGGGUAAAUCGGGCAGCUUAACUGUCCGAAUUCUGAGGAGACUGCCAGACUUGGGACCGGGAGAGGUCAGAGGUACUCUUAGGGUAGGGGUGAAAUCCUGUAAUCCUAAGAGGACCACCAGUGGCGAAGGCGUCUGACUAGAACGGGUCUGACGGUAAGGGACGAAGCCCUGGGUCACGAACCAGAUUAGAUACCCGGGUAGUCCAGGGUGUAAACGCUGCGGGCUUGGUGUUGGGGGUCCUACGAGGGCAUCCAGUGCCGGAGAGAAGUUGUUAAGCCCGCCGCCUGGGGAGUACGAUCGCAAGAUUG